GAUGAACGCUGGCGGCGUGCCUAAUACAUGUAAGUCGAACGAAACUUCUUUAUCACCGAGUGCUUGCACUCACCGAUAAAGAGUUGAGUGGCGAACGGGUGAGUAACACGUGGGCAACCUGCCCAAAAGAGGGGGAUAACACUUGGAAACAGGUGCUAAUACCGCAUAACCAUAGUUACCGCAUGGUAACUAUGUAAAAGGUGGCUAUACUACCGCUUUUGGAUGGGCCCGCGGCGCAUUAGCUAGUUGGUAGGGUAAAGGCUUACCAAGGCAAUGAUGCGUAGCCGAAUUGAGAGGUUGAUCGGCCACAUUGGGACUGAGACACGGCCCAAACUCCUACGGGAGGCAGCAGUAGGGAAUCUUCCACAAUGGGCGAAAGCCUGAUGGAGCAACGCCGCGUGGGUGAAGAAGGUCUUCGGAUCGUAAAACCCUGUUGUUAGAGAAGAAAGUGCGUGAGAGUAACUGUUCACGUUUCGACGGUAUCUAACCAGAAAGCCACUGCUAACUACGUG
RNAcentral lists this ribosomal RNA (512 nucleotides) under uncultured bacterium. RNAcentral describes it as "partial 16S ribosomal RNA". It matches the Rfam family "Bacterial small subunit ribosomal RNA", at positions 28 to 507 of the family's 1533-position model. The record is from RNAcentral.